UACACACGUGCUACAAUGGGUGGUACAAAGAGAAGCCAACUCGCGAGAGCGCGCCAAUCUCAAAAAGCCAUCCUCAGUUCGGAUUGGAGUCUGCAACUCGACUCCAUGAAGUUGGAAUCGCUAGUAAUCGCGGAUCAGCAUGCCGCGGUCGAAUACGUUCCCGGGCCUU
Molecule: ribosomal RNA, 169 nt
Filed under: uncultured Smithella sp.
Lineage: Bacteria; Pseudomonadati; Thermodesulfobacteriota; Syntrophia; Syntrophales; Smithellaceae
Description: partial 16S ribosomal RNA
Rfam family: Bacterial small subunit ribosomal RNA
Source: RNAcentral